Amphibalanus amphitrite is the source of this 244-nucleotide long non-coding RNA. RefSeq lists it as uncharacterized. Lineage: Eukaryota; Metazoa; Arthropoda; Thecostraca; Balanomorpha; Balanidae. The record is from RefSeq and is a predicted model, not a curated record. The transcript has 3 exons.
CUGGCGUUGAGGACGCCAACUUGAGUGGUCAGCAAGCGAUGGAGCCGGGGCGAGGACCUCCGCCGUCAGCCCUUGCUGGGUAUCCGGAAGCUCCUGGCGUUGAGGGUGCCAACUUGAGUGGUCAGCAAGCGAUGGAGCCGUGGCGAGGACCUCCGUCUUCGGCCCUUGCUGGGUAUCCGGAAGCUCCUGGCGUUGAGGGCGCCAACUUGAGUGGUCAGCAAGCGAUGGAGCCGGGGCGAGGACC